This is a long non-coding RNA of Brassica oleracea var. oleracea, 907 nucleotides long. RefSeq lists it as uncharacterized. The transcript is spliced from 2 exons. NCBI's taxonomy places the organism in Eukaryota, Viridiplantae, Streptophyta, Magnoliopsida, Brassicales, Brassicaceae. The record is from RefSeq and is a predicted model, not a curated record.
GUGUUUCCAAGAUCUCGAAGCUGGCUCUCAAUUUCCGUUUGCCAAUCGUGGGAGAAAGCAGAGACGUCUGUCUCGUUGGGAUCCAUCUCAGGAUGUAGCUGUCGAGAUAACAAAAUCAGCACGGCUCUGAAUUUCUUCUUCCGCCUCGUUAAUUCCAUCCGAACGUCUAAGGAUACUCUUGAUUUGCGAGAAAAAACCAGUUGGUGAAAAAUGUUAGCUAAACGUAAAGAAGCUAGUAAAGCCGAUCUCCACGGAACAGCUAGUGUAAGUAAGUGCUUACAUUUUUGUUUCCCUUCUCAUAUGGUGCUAAUGUUUAUUGAAGAAUUUGUUGCGUGUAGGUGAUCUGUGUGACUUGAUUGGUAUAAGCCCGUUAGGAAUUUGCAAUUGGGGGGGGGGGGGGGGGGGGGAUUUUGAAGAGUCCCAUUUUAAGUUUUGGAAUGUUCUUCUGUUUCUCGGCUAGAGGUCCGUAUGGUGAACAACAAUGGCGGAAAAAAAAACGCAACACCGCAAUCAGAUCAUGUUGUGACGUCACUACCACCUUCUAAGCCUCCAUCUCCACCAUAGCAACCUCAUUCACCUCCACCACAGCCUUUCAUGAGCGGGCUCCGACCUAAGAUGUGUAUUAUUGUUAUUCAUAGCCCACCUAAGAUCUGAAUGGGAGGAGUUACGAAGAAGGUGGGGAAAACAUCGUGCAUAUUGAGACUUGGUCAUGAAACUGGAGAUGUACAAACUGCUUUUCAUUUAUAUAAUCUCCAAUGUAAGUUCGAAUAGUGUACAUGUGGAUGAUGAGACCUAUGUACACUACUCAUUUAUACAAAUCUACAAUGUACAUGAUAAUACUGUACACAUGGAUAUGAAGACCUAUGUACACUAUUCAUUUAUCCAAUCAAUAAUGUAUGCACAAAUC